GUGUAUACACUAGACUGAUGAGUUGCGAACGGGUGAGUAACGCGUAGGUAACCUGCCUCAUAGCGGGGGAUAACUAUUGGAAACGAUAGCUAAUACCGCAUAAGAGUGAUUAACACAUGUUAGUUAUUUAAAAGGAGCAAUUGCUUCACUGUGAGAUGGACCUGCGUUGUAUUAGCUAGUUGGUGAGGUAAAGGCUCACCAAGGCGACGAUACAUAGCCGACCUGAGAGGGUGAUCGGCCACACUGGGACUGAGACACGGCCCAGACUCCUACGGGAGGCAGCAGUAGGGAAUCUUCGGCAAUGGACGGAAGUCUGACCGAGCAACGCCGCGUGAGUGAAGAAGGUUUUCGGAUCGUAAAGCUCUGUUGUUAGAGAAGAACGUUGGUAGGAGUGGAAAAUCUACCAAGUGACGGUAACUAACCAGAAAGGGACGGCUAACUACGUGCCAGCAGCCGCGGUAAUACGUAGGUCCCGAGCGUUGUCCGGAUUUAUUGGGCGUAAAGCGAGCGCAGGCGGUUCUUUAAGUCUGAAGUUACAAGGCAGUGGCUUAACCAUUGUACGCUUUGGAAACUGGAGGACUUGAGUGCAGAAGGGGAGAGUGGAAUUCCAUGUGUAGCGGUGAAAUGCGUAGAUAUAUGGAGGAACACCGGUGGCGAAAGCGGCUCUCUGGUCUGUAACUGACGCUGAGGCUCGAAGGCGUGGGGAGCAAACAGGAUUAGAUACCCUGGUAGUCCACGCCGUAAACGAUGAGUGCUAGGUGUUAGGCCCUUUCCGGGGCUUAGUGCCCAGCUAACGCAU
Molecule: ribosomal RNA, 799 nt
Filed under: uncultured Streptococcaceae bacterium
Lineage: Bacteria; Bacillati; Bacillota; Bacilli; Lactobacillales; Streptococcaceae
Description: bacterial SSU rRNA
Rfam family: Bacterial small subunit ribosomal RNA
Source: RNAcentral